UACGUAGGUCCCGAGCGUUGUCCGGAUUUAUUGGGCGUAAAGCGAGCGCAGGUGGUUUAUUAAGUCUGGUGUAAAAGGCAGUGGCUCAACCAUUGUAUGCAUUGGAAACUGGUAGACUUGAGUGCAGGAGAGGAGAGUGGAAUUCCAUGUGUAGCGGUGAAAUGCGUAGAUAUAUGGAGGAACACCGGUGGCGAAAGCGGCUCUCUGGCCUGUAACUGACACUGAGGCUCGAAAGCGUGAGGAGCAAACAGG
RNAcentral lists this ribosomal RNA (252 nucleotides) under uncultured bacterium. RNAcentral describes it as "partial 16S ribosomal RNA". It matches the Rfam family "Bacterial small subunit ribosomal RNA", at positions 524 to 776 of the family's 1533-position model. The record is from RNAcentral.